GGCAGGUUGAAAUCCCCGCAAACGACGACCGUAUCAUUCGGACCAGCGGCUUCAACCAUGGACUCAACAAAAACGACGAACGAAUCGUAACGACGAGUGUUAGAGCUCGGGCAAACUCCGUGCUGGCAAUUCGACGAUGGAUGGCAACAAGUGCACCACCACCAGUUAUUUUGUCACUGUUGACCGAACUUCGAUCGCAGCGGUAAACAGAAAAACAAGCGGGAAACAACAUACCAUCCUGUACGUCAGAGUCCAAGAUUUCUCACAGACGAACC
This is a long non-coding RNA of Wyeomyia smithii (pitcher-plant mosquito), 275 nucleotides long. RefSeq lists it as uncharacterized. NCBI's taxonomy places the organism in Eukaryota, Metazoa, Arthropoda, Insecta, Diptera, Culicidae. The record is from RefSeq and is a predicted model, not a curated record. The transcript is spliced from 3 exons.